GACGAACGCUGGCGGCGUGCCUAAUACAUGCAAGUCGAGCGCAGGAAGUCAUCCGACCCCUUCGGGGGGACGUUGACGGAAUGAGCGGCGGACGGGUGAGUAACACGUAAAGAACCUGCCCUCAGGUCUGGGAUAACCACGAGAAAUCGGGGCUAAUACCGGAUGGGUCAUCGGACCGCAUGGUCCGAGGAUGAAAGGCGCUCCGGCGUCGCCUGGGGAUGGCUUUGCGGUGCAUUAGCUAGUUGGUGGGGUAAUGGCCCACCAAGGCGACGAUGCAUAGCCGACCUGAGAGGGGGAUCGGCCACACUGGGACUGAGACACGGCCCAGACUCCUACGGGAGGCAGCAGUAGGGAAUCUUCCACAAUGGACGAAAGUCUGAUGGAGCAACGCCGCGUGAACGAUGAAGGCCCUCGGGUCGUAAAGUUCUGUUGUAAGGGAAGAACAAGUGCCGCAGGCAAUGGCGGCACCUUGACGGUACCUUGCGAGAAAGCCACGGCUAACUACGUG
This 508-nucleotide ribosomal RNA is filed under the name uncultured bacterium. RNAcentral's name for it is "partial 16S ribosomal RNA". It matches the Rfam family "Bacterial small subunit ribosomal RNA", at positions 28 to 507 of the family's 1533-position model. The record is from RNAcentral.